RNAcentral lists this transfer RNA (73 nucleotides) under Ornithorhynchus anatinus (platypus). It matches the Rfam family "tRNA". From Rfam's summary of the family: Transfer RNA (tRNA) molecules are approximately 80 nucleotides in length. Their secondary structure includes four short double-helical elements and three loops (D, anti-codon, and T loops). Further hydrogen bonds mediate the characteristic L-shaped molecular structure. tRNAs have two regions of fundamental functional importance: the anti-codon, which is responsible for specific mRNA codon recognition, and the 3' end, to which the tRNAs corresponding amino acid is attached (by aminoacyl-tRNA synthetases). tRNAs cope with the degeneracy of the genetic code in two manners: having more than one tRNA (with a specific anti-codon) for a particular amino acid; and 'wobble' base-pairing, i.e. permitting non-standard base-pairing at the 3rd anti-codon position. Lineage: Eukaryota; Metazoa; Chordata; Mammalia; Monotremata; Ornithorhynchidae. The record is from Rfam by way of RNAcentral.
AGCAGCGUGGCUCAGUGGAAAGAGCCCGGGCUUGGGGAGUCAGAGGUCAUGGGUUUGAAUCCUGGCUCUGCCG